This 333-nucleotide unclassified non-coding RNA is filed under the name soil metagenome. Its description in RNAcentral is "partial contains 5.8S ribosomal RNA, internal transcribed spacer 2, and large subunit ribosomal RNA". The stretch from base 1 to 121 matches the Rfam family "5.8S ribosomal RNA", at positions 35 to 154 of the family's 154-position model. The record is from RNAcentral.
GAUGAAGAAACGCAGUGAAAUGCGAUAAGUAGUGUGAAUUGCAGAAUUCAGUGAAUCAUCGAAUCUUUGAACGCACAUUGCGCCCUUUGGUAUUCCUUAGGGCAUGCCUGUUCGAGCGUCAUUUAAACCUUCAAGCUAAGCUUGGUGUUGGGUGACUGUCCGCUUCACGGCGGACUCGCCUCAAAAUUAUUGGCGGCCGGUACAUUGGCUUCGAGCGCAGCAGAAACGCGAACUCGGGCCCGUCGUAUUGGCUCCCAGAAGCUAUCUUCACAAUUUUGACCUCGGAUCAGGUAGGGAUACCCGCUGAACUUAAGCAUAUCAAUAAGCGGAGGA